This 94-nucleotide non-coding RNA is filed under the name Kutzneria viridogrisea DSM 43870. RNAcentral's name for it is "Kutzneria albida DSM 43870 Glycine riboswitch aptamer". It matches the Rfam family "Glycine riboswitch aptamer". Rfam says of the family: This family represents the bacterial glycine riboswitch. Glycine riboswitches usually consist of two metabolite-binding aptamers domains with similar structures in tandem. The aptamers cooperatively bind glycine to regulate the expression of downstream genes. The record is from Rfam by way of RNAcentral. Lineage: Bacteria; Bacillati; Actinomycetota; Actinomycetes; Pseudonocardiales; Pseudonocardiaceae.
ACAGCCCGGUCGGGAGAGCUCUCGGUUCACGCCGGGGCGCCGAAGGAGCAAGCACUCCCCGCACACUCUCAGGCAACAAGACCGGCCGGGCGAG